This is an RNA transcript of Musa acuminata AAA Group (dessert banana), 1132 nucleotides long. RefSeq lists it as uncharacterized. The transcript has 4 exons. The record is from RefSeq and is a predicted model, not a curated record. Lineage: Eukaryota; Viridiplantae; Streptophyta; Magnoliopsida; Zingiberales; Musaceae.
UUCUAGAGAGUUCCGCAGCGAGGGAAUUAGUGUCGUCCUCUCGGCAACGAAGCUCUCACGCAAUAGGAGAGGAGCAAAGGGGAAAAGCCUGAGGAGGUCGAAACCCUUGCAACCGUGCGAUUUUGUUCGAGGGUUCCGUUCGCUUUUUGGUGAUCUUUCGAGUCGGGUUGUGGGGAUUCGCCAGAGAUGGCUGGUUUCUCGACGGGGAGGGCGAAGAGGAAAGAGCCUGAAGAGGUUUACGACGAUUUCUCGUACUUUUCGCUGUCGUCUCCGGCUACGAAGAUCAGGAGAUUGGAUGCCGAUAUGCUUCCUAUGAUAGAAGAGAAUGAGGCAACAGCUAUGACAAGAUUUAAACAACAGCUGCCAAUAGAACAAAUUAGCACAAGCACCUAUGGGAUGCCAGAUAUCAGACCUGUAACAGUUCAUAGUAUAGCUGCAUGCCUGCCAAAUGAGAAGGGAGCUUUUGUUUAUGAUUCCGCCGAGGCCACACCAUUUUUGUCACCUGUUGGACCAAAUGUUUCUUUUAGAGUGAGCUCGGAUUUGAUCCGUGGUAUCAAAAAUUACUCUUGGAGAACUCUUAUGACAAUAUUUUUUUCUUACUGAUGAUGUGCUAUCAGACACUUUAUCAAAUCAUGUCUUCAAGCUGCAGGAUCAAACUAUGGCUAAGAUGGAUGACAAAAUACCAGUGUCCAAUAACUGCUUAGCUCUGGUUCCCUGGGUGCCGCCCCAGGCUACCGUCCAUGCUUAUGAGUACGCUGGCUCGCAAUCCGGGAGCCAGUCGUCGCAGGAGCCAAUGGAAGCUGAAGAAGCUGGAGCAGCACCCAUGGCAGUCGAAGAAAACAGAGAACAAACGGUUAGUGGAAUCGACGUUGAUGUGAUCCAGCAGUGGCAGCAGCACUGUCUGGCUCCCAAGUUCCUUCGUCACACGCCCAGUCGUCUGAUGUCGUAACAGUUUGAAGGAAGAGAGCAGUCGAUCAUUUUCCUUUUGAUUGCAUUCCUACCAUGUCUUGUCGAAUGCAGAAAAUCGUCAUUCUGUUUUGAUUUCUUUUGAGUAGCAGCUCAAUCUGGUACAUUACUUGAGCAAACGUAUAUGCUUACAAAUUAACUGUAUAUGCUUACUAAUUUUGAUCUA